UAGUGUUACAGCCUUUUUAGAAUUUGUUUAGCACGUUUCCUGUUUUCACUGGAAGACUCCC
Molecule: small nuclear RNA, 61 nt
Organism: Cebus imitator (Panamanian white-faced capuchin)
Lineage: Eukaryota; Metazoa; Chordata; Mammalia; Primates; Cebidae
Gene: U7
Rfam family: U7 small nuclear RNA
About the family: Animal histone pre-mRNAs are spliced by a different mechanism than nuclear pre-mRNAs and self-splicing introns.
Source: Ensembl